ACUGAAGAUAAAGAACCGAGGAAUGACCCAAUUGGGGUUCGAGUUGCAGAAAUUAUAACUACUUCGUUUAGUUGUGGUUUUGUGCUGUAGGAUCUGUUGGUCAAAGUCACCACCUAUGAGAGAAAUGGAGCACCUUAUUUGAGUUUUGCAUGAUAUGGGAACCAACCUGGGAUAAUUUGAAGGCAGACAUUUUGAGUUGUUGGAAUUAUAAAUGCACUCAGAUGAGGACUUUGCCCUUACUAUCAGCUGAUCGUCCCACCUCAACUAUUCAAAACUUGCCCAUUUAACGCAAACCUUAUAAAUUUUAGAAAAAUACCUAUGAAUUUUUAAACAAUCAAAAAAAUAAAACACAAAUUGUAAUUUUAGAAUUGUUUAUUGAAAAAUAAAUCUAGUACAUUUGAAUAAUCCGCCAUUUAUCGACAAAAACGACACAAUAACAAUACUAAAAUUUCCUACAUCGUAUUCUUUGAAAUGAGAAAUACCGUGUAAUAAAAUAUUUUCUUACGUUAAAUCACCUUUAUAAUUAAAACUAAAGUAAAUGUAGUUAUUGGAUUAUAAUAAUUUUAAUCGUAUCAUUUUUAAUCAAUAAAAAUUCGUCAUCUGGUGGGCAAAGCUGCCAGCGAUAAAGUUCCUAGCACUGAUGUGUCAAAAUUUAAAAAUGGAAGCAUUGGAAGAUAAUUUUCAAGAAUUGCACGAGAAAAUCGCUGGUCUUUUUGAAAAUUAUAAAGAGGAAUUAAAUAGUAAAGACCAUGCUAACAUGGGAUACUUUUUAUACAAUGUAAACAUCAACUCUGAUGUUUUGUUGUAUAAAAUAAAGUAUGAAAUUGACCAAUUUAUGAAAAUGCGUGAAGUUGUGUCUGAAACGUCUACUGAUAGUUCUGCAGUGAAUACAAAAAAGUCUGAAUGUUUGAUUAAAUUGCAAACGUUGACUUCAAUGCUGACGUGUCACAUAAUGGAUGAUUACAGAAAGAAAAUGGAAGGAAAAAAAACAUUCUAAAUAUUAGUUGUCGUGAAUAAAUUUGUAAUAAUUAUGUAAAUUAGAAAAUAAAAAAAUUGAAUAUUGCAAUGAAUGACU
Molecule: long non-coding RNA, 1075 nt
Organism: Tribolium madens (black flour beetle)
Lineage: Eukaryota; Metazoa; Arthropoda; Insecta; Coleoptera; Tenebrionidae
Exons: 3
Source: RefSeq, a predicted model, not a curated record